This 3200-nucleotide ribosomal RNA is filed under the name Pediastrum duplex. RNAcentral's name for it is "LSU rRNA". It matches the Rfam family "Bacterial large subunit ribosomal RNA". Lineage: Eukaryota; Viridiplantae; Chlorophyta; Chlorophyceae; Sphaeropleales; Hydrodictyaceae. The record is from RNAcentral.
GUCAAAAAAAAGAAGGCUCACGACGGAGACCUAGGCUCUCAGAGACGAUGAAAGGCGCGAUACCGGCGAUAUGCUUUGGGGAGUAGGAAGAAUGCAUUGAUCCAAAGAUUCCUGAAUAGGGCAACCUGUCCGACUAUCUAUGAAUUCAUAAAUAGAUUAGAGGCAACCUGGUGAACUGAAACAUCUCAGUAGCCAGAGGAAAAGAAAGCAAAAGCGAUUCCCGUAGUAGCGGCGAGCGAACUGGGACCAGCCUAAACCAAUUUUAUUGGGGUUGUGGGAAGACAAAAAAAAUAUAAAGAAACUUGUAAACAAAGUUUACUUCUUCUUCGCUCCGCGAACGAAGAAGCGAAAGAUGCAAAAGAAAGACGAAGCAGCUGAAUCCUGCACCAUAGAUGGUGAAAGUCCAGUAGUCAUAUUCAAUCUUUAUUUUAAUGUCUAUCCCGAGUAGCAUGGGGCACGUGGAAUCCCGUGUGAAUCUGCGAGGACCACCUCGUAAGGCUAAACACUCCUGAGAGACCGAUAGCGAAAUAGUACAGCGAUGGAAAGGUGAAAAGAACCCCCGUCGGGGAGUGAAACAGAACAUGAAAUCGUGAGCUGACAAGCAGUGGGAGGAUUUCUUUUAAAAUCUGACCUCGUGCCUGUUGAAGAAUGAGCCGGCGACUUAUAGGAAGUGGCAGGUUAAAGAGUAAUAUCUGGAGCCUAAGCGAAAGCGAGUCUGAAUAGGGCAAAAGUCACUUCUUAUGGACCCGAACCUGGAUGAUCUAACCAUGAGCAAGCUGAAGCUUAGGUAACACUUAGUGGAGGGCUGAACGGACCGAUGUUGAAAAAUCGGCCGAUGACUUGUGGUUAGCGGAGAAAUUCCAAUCGAAUUCAGAGCUAGCUGGUUCUCCCCGAAAUGCGUUGAGGCGCAGCGGCAAUGAUGGGCAGUCUAAGGGUAGAGCGACUGUUUCGGUGCGGGCUGCGAAAGCGGUACCAAGUCGUGGCAAACUCCGAAUAUUAGACAUGCUUUCCAUGUGCCAGUGAGACAGUGAGAGAAAAGUUUCAUUGUCAAGAGGGAAACAGCCCAGAUCAUCAGCUAAGGCCCCUAAAUGACUCCUAAGUGGAAAAGGAUGUGAGAAUGCUGAAACAACCAGGAAAUUUGCUUAGAAGCAGCCAUUUUUUAAAGAGUGCGUAAUAGCUCACUGGUAAAGCGUUUUUGCGCCGACAAUGGCCGGGACUAAGGAGUCUGCCGAAGCUAUGAGAUUUUUUGUUUCUUUUAAUUCUUAUAAAAUAAAAUACUUGCUCAUCGCUCGGUGCGCUUGCUUCUUCGGCUCUUCGCUCUUCCGCUCCUCGGUGCGCUUGCGCGACCUUCGUUCGCGGAGCGAAGCGCAAGCGCACCGAGGAGCGGAGCGGAGAACCGAAGGAGCGAAGACCGAAGCGAAGCGGAGCGAUAACAAAGUUUACAAGCAAAAGAAAGAAUAAAAAUCGGUAGGGGAGCGUUCAGCAUUGGGUGAAGCUUUGACGUAAGUUUGAGUGGACGAUGCUGAAGUGAGAAUGUCGGCUUGAGUAACGAAAACAUUGGUGAGAAUCCAAUGCCCCGAAAACCUAAGGGUUCCUUUACAAGGUUCGUCCAUGAAGGGUGAGUCAGGACCUAAGGCGAGGCCGACAGGCGUAGUCGAUGGCAAACAGGUUGAUAUUCCUGUACUUUUUUGAGGGGGAACCGAGGGACGAAGUCGGCUAAAUUGAGUCUGUGAAUGGAAUGCAGUGGAAAUGUCCAAGUUCGCAAAGCGAACAAACAGAUCGAAGAAAAACGAAUCUGUAGCUAAGGCAUGAUCCCACUCUCCUGAACUUGUUUGGGCAGAGUGUCAAUGAUGUCAUACUUCCAAGAAAAGCUCGUACACCAUCUUAUUGCUUUGCGAUAAGAUUAAACCUUCAAAAAACCUGUACCUUAAACCGACACAGGUAGGUUGGUAGAGAAUACUAAGGGGCGCAAGAGAACUCUCUCUAAGGAACUCGGCAAAUUGGCCCCGUAACUUCGGGAGAAGGGGCGCCCCUGACAUUGUCAGGGGCCACAGUAUAAAGAUUCUGGCAACUGUUUACCAAAAACACAGGUCUCCGCAAAGUCGUAAGACAAUAUAUGGGGGCUGACGCCUGCCCAGUGCCGGAAGGUGAAGGAAGUUGGUUAUUUAGGCCUUGUGCCUGGAGAAGCUGACAACCGAAGCCCCGGUGAACGGCAGCUGUAACUAUGACAGUUCUAAGGUAGCGAAAUUCAUUGUCGAGUAAGUUUCGACCUGCACGAAAGGCGUAAUGAUCAGAAUACUGUCUCAGAGAGAGGCUUGGUGAAAUAGACUUAUCCGUGAAGAUGCGGAUUAACAACAUUUGGACAGAAAGACCCUAUGAAGCUUGACUGUAUCCUGGAAUUGGGUUCGGGCUUUUCUUGCGCAGUCUAGGUGGGAGGCAUUGAAGAUUUCUUUCCGGAGAGAUUGGAGCCAUCAGUGAGAGACCACUCUGGAAAGGCUAGAAUCCUAAGAGUGAUCCCUAAUCGGGACAUUUGACGUUUUCAGGAGGGCAGUUUUUUUGGGGCGAAAGUCCUCCUAAAAGGUAACGGAGGCGCGCAAAGGUUUCCUCAGUCUGGACGGAAAUCAGACGUUACAGAGUGUAAAGGCAAAAGGAAGCUUGACUGCAAGACCUACAAGUCGAGCAGGGGCGAAAGCCGGCCUUAGUGAUCCGACGGUAUCCGCGUGGAAGGGCCGUCGCUCAACGGAUAAAAGUUACUCUAGGGAUAACAGGCUGAUCUUCUCCAAGAGUUCACAUCGACGAGAAGGUUUGGCACCUCGAUGUCGGCUCAUCACAUCCUGGGGCUGUAGUAGGUCCCAAGGGUUGGGCUGUUCGCCCAUUAAAGUGGUACGUGAGCUGGGUUCAAAACGUCGUAAGACAGUUUGGUCCAUAUCCGAUGUUGUCGUUAGAGCGCUGAGGGGAUCCUUAAAUAGUACGAGAGGAUUUUUAAGGUCGUGCCUAUGGUGUAUCAGUUCUCUCUCCAGAGGGAAACGCUGAGUAGCUACGCACGGUUUAGAUAACCGCUGAAAGCAUCUAAGUGGGAAGCUUUCCUCAAGAUGAGCGCUCUCCAUUAUGCCACAGCUAGACAAGCUGAUGAUAGGUAUCAGGUGAAAGGUCUGCAAGGAUUUGAGCCGAGAUAUACUAAAGGCCAAUUGAUUUUGACC